GAUGAACGCUGGCGGCGUGCCUAAUACAUGCAAGUCGAGCGAACGGACGAGAAGCUUGCUUUUCUGAUGUUAGCGGCGGACGGGUGAGUAACACGUGGAUAACCUACCUAUAAGACUGGGAUAACUUCGGGAAACCGGAGCUAAUACCGGAUAAUAUUUUGAACCGCAUGGUUCAAAAGUGAAAGACGGUCUUGCUGUCACUUAUAGAUGGAUCCGCGCUGCAUUAGCUAGUUGGUAAGGUAACGGCUUACCAAGGCAACGAUGCAUAGCCGACCUGAGAGGGUGAUCGGACACACUGGAACUGAGACACGGUCCAGACUCCUACGGGAGGCAGCAGUAGGGAAUCUUCCACAAUGGGCGGAAGCCUGACGGAGCAACGCCGCGUGAGUGAUGAAGGUCUUCGGAUCGUAAAACUCUGUUAUUAGGGAAGAACAUAUGUGUAAGUAACUGUGCACAUCUUGACGGUACCUAAUCAGAAAGCCACGGCUAACUACGUG
RNAcentral lists this ribosomal RNA (497 nucleotides) under uncultured bacterium. RNAcentral's name for it is "partial 16S ribosomal RNA". It matches the Rfam family "Bacterial small subunit ribosomal RNA", at positions 28 to 507 of the family's 1533-position model. The record is from RNAcentral.